This 2906-nucleotide ribosomal RNA is filed under the name Escherichia coli. RNAcentral describes it as "23S ribosomal RNA". It matches the Rfam family "Bacterial large subunit ribosomal RNA". The record is from RNAcentral. Lineage: Bacteria; Pseudomonadati; Pseudomonadota; Gammaproteobacteria; Enterobacterales; Enterobacteriaceae.
GGUUAAGCGACUAAGCGUACACGGUGGAUGCCCUGGCAGUCAGAGGCGAUGAAGGACGUGCUAAUCUGCGAUAAGCGUCGGUAAGGUGAUAUGAACCGUUAUAACCGGCGAUUUCCGAAUGGGGAAACCCAGUGUGAUUCGUCACACUAUCAUUAACUGAAUCCAUAGGUUAAUGAGGCGAACCGGGGGAACUGAAACAUCUAAGUACCCCGAGGAAAAGAAAUCAACCGAGAUUCCCCCAGUAGCGGCGAGCGAACGGGGAGCAGCCCAGAGCCUGAAUCAGUGUGUGUGUUAGUGGAAGCGUCUGGAAAGGCGCGCGAUACAGGGUGACAGCCCCGUACACAAAAAUGCACAUACUGUGAGCUCGAUGAGUAGGGCGGGACACGUGGUAUCCUGUCUGAAUAUGGGGGGACCAUCCUCCAAGGCUAAAUACUCCUGACUGACCGAUAGUGAACCAGUACCGUGAGGGAAAGGCGAAAAGAACCCCGGCGAGGGGAGUGAAAAAGAACCUGAAACCGUGUACGUACAAGCAGUGGGAGCACAGAGCAAUCUGUGUGACUGCGUACCUUUUGUAUAAUGGGUCAGCGACUUAUAUUCUGUAGCAAGGUUAACCGAAUAGGGGAGCCGAAGGGAAACCGAGUCUUAACUGGGCGUUAAGUUGCAGGGUAUAGACCCGAAACCCGGUGAUCUAGCCAUGGGCAGGUUGAAGGUUGGGUAACACUAACUGGAGGACCGAACCGACUAAUGUUGAAAAAUUAGCGGAUGACUUGUGGCUGGGGGUGAAAGGCCAAUCAAACCGGGAGAUAGCUGGUUCUCCCCGAAAGCUAUUUAGGUAGCGCCUCGUGAAUUCAUCUCCGGGGGUAGAGCACUGUUUCGGCAAGGGGGUCAUCCCGACUUACCAACCCGAUGCAAACUGCGAAUACCGGAGAAUGUUAUCACGGGAGACACACGGCGGGUGCUAACGUCCGUCGUGAAGAGGGAAACAACCCAGACCGCCAGCUAAGGUCCCAAAGUCAUGGUUAAGUGGGAAACGAUGUGGGAAGGCCCAGACAGCCAGGAUGUUGGCUUAGAAGCAGCCAUCAUUUAAAGAAAGCGUAAUAGCUCACUGGUCGAGUCGGCCUGCGCGGAAGAUGUAACGGGGCUAAACCAUGCACCGAAGCUGCGGCAGCGACGCUGAUGCGUUGUUGGGUAGGGGAGCGUUCUGUAAGCCUGUGAAGGUGUGCUGUGAGGCAUGCUGGAGGUAUCAGAAGUGCGAAUGCUGACAUAAGUAACGAUAAAGCGGGUGAAAAGCCCGCUCGCCGGAAGACCAAGGGUUCCUGUCCAACGUUAAUCGGGGCAGGGUGAGUCGACCCCUAAGGCGAGGCCGAAAGGCGUAGUCGAUGGGAAACAGGUUAAUAUUCCUGUACUUGGUGUUACUGCGAAGGGGGGACGGAGAAGGCUAUGUUGGCCGGGCGACGGUUGUCCCGGUUUAAGCGUGUAGGCUGGUUUUCCAGGCAAAUCCGGAAAAUCAAGGCUGAGGCGUGAUGACGAGGCACUACGGUGCUGAAGCUACAAAUGCCCUGCUUCCAGGAAAAGCCUCUAAGCAUCAGGUAACAUCAAAUCGUACCCCAAACCGACACAGGUGGUCAGGUAGAGAAUACCAAGGCGCUUGAGAGAACUCGGGUGAAGGAACUAGGCAAAAUGGUGCCGUAACUUCGGGAGAAGGCACGCUGAUAUGUAGGUGAAGUCCCUCGCGGAUGGAGCUGAAAUCAGUCGAAGAUACCAGCUGGCUGCAACUGUUUAUUAAAAACACAGCACUGUGCAAACACGAAAGUGGACGUAUACGGUGUGACGCCUGCCCGGUGCCGGAAGGUUAAUUGAUGGGGUCAGCGCAAGCGAAGCUCUUGAUCGAAGCCCCGGUAAACGGCGGCCGUAACUAUAACGGUCCUAAGGUAGCGAAAUUCCUUGUCGGGUAAGUUCCGACCUGCACGAAUGGCGUAAUGAUGGCCAGGCUGUCUCCACCCGAGGCUCAGUGAAAUUGAACUCGCUGUGAAGAUGCAGUGUACCCGCGGCAAGACGGAAAGACCCCGUGAACCUUUACUAUAGCUUGACACUGAACAUUGAGCCUUGAUGUGUAGGAUAGGUGGGAGGCUUAGAAGUGUGGACGCCAGUCUGCAUGGAGCCGACCUUGAAAUACCACCCUUUAAUGUUUGAUGUUCUAACGUUGACCCGUAAUCCGGGUUGCGGACAGUGUCUGGUGGGUAGUUUGACUGGGGCGGUCUCCUCCUAAAGAGUAACGGAGGAGCACGAAGGUUGGCUAAUCCUGGUCGGACAUCAGGAGGUUAGUGCAAUGGCAUAAGCCAGCUUGACUGCGAGCGUGACGGCGCGAGCAGGUGCGAAAGCAGGUCAUAGUGAUCCGGUGGUUCUGAAUGGAAGGGCCAUCGCUCAACGGAUAAAAGGUACUCCGGGGAUAACAGGCUGAUACCGCCCAAGAGUUCAUAUCGACGGCGGUGUUUGGCACCUCGAUGUCGGCUCAUCACAUCCUGGGGCUGAAGUAGGUCCCAAGGGUAUGGCUGUUCGCCAUUUAAAGUGGUACGCGAGCUGGGUUUAGAACGUCGUGAGACAGUUCGGUCCCUAUCUGCCGUGGGCGCUGGAGAACUGAGGGGGGCUGCUCCUAGUACGAGAGGACCGGAGUGGACGCAUCACUGGUGUUCGGGUUGUCAUGCCAAUGGCACUGCCCGGUAGCUAAAUGCGGAAGAGAUAAGUGCUGAAAGCAUCUAAGCACGAAACUUGCCCCGAGAUGAGUUCUCCCUGACCCUUUAAGGGUCCUGAAGGAACGUUGAAGACGACGACGUUGAUAGGCCGGGUGUGUAAGCGCAGCGAUGCGUUGAGCUAACCGGUACUAAUGAACCGUGAGGCUUAACCUU